RNAcentral lists this non-coding RNA (354 nucleotides) under Pectobacterium atrosepticum SCRI1043. RNAcentral's name for it is "Soft rot Enterobacteriaceae Rev 13 asRNA". It matches the Rfam family "Soft rot Enterobacteriaceae Rev 13 asRNA". Rfam says of the family: From bacteria cultured under starvation conditions. Antisense to ECA0388. Lineage: Bacteria; Pseudomonadati; Pseudomonadota; Gammaproteobacteria; Enterobacterales; Pectobacteriaceae. The record is from Rfam by way of RNAcentral.
AAAUAACUCUUCGGUAAUCAUGAAGCCGUGAAGCCGCGAUUUUAAUGUCUAUUAGGAAAAAUCCCAAUAAACAUAAGCGGACUAAUAAUAAAAAGAGAUUAUUCUCUGAUUUUUUUAUUUAUCGCGAGAGAUUCUACAAGAAGUUUUUAAUAGGAUGAUAUUUAACGCAUUCCCGUUAAUCGUCUGACUACGCUACUCAUCCUUUCCGCCUCAAAUUAACGUUCGUAAAAUCAGCAAAAAACGAGGAUUUUUCGUUCAUAUACCUAACAAGAAAGCCGAUAGUGCGCCGCUAUAUUCGCGCACUAUCGACAUCAGACAGGGGUUAAUUCGGGGUUGAGAAUCAAGAGUUGGGGA